Molecule: long non-coding RNA, 930 nt
Organism: Aethina tumida (small hive beetle)
Lineage: Eukaryota; Metazoa; Arthropoda; Insecta; Coleoptera; Nitidulidae
Exons: 4
Source: RefSeq, a predicted model, not a curated record
CGCGAAACCAUUACCGCAUGCGCCAGAAAAUGUUCCUUAAAAUCGCGGAUUCUAGAAGGUUAUUGGUAUAAUUAUGCUUGGUUAACACUAAAUUUCAAACUAAAAUCUGUAUGUAGUCAAACAAGAAAAUGUUUACUAAAUAUUCUUCUGAAUAUUCAAUAAAGGGUAGACGAGAGACCUGUUCAGUGUAACAAAAAUCAAUGUCAGUAUUUGAGAAACCUAGGACCAAUCAAUGCAAUUGUUAUUCGAUAUUCAAAUGAGUCAGGAGUCAAAAUAUUAGAUGAGUAACUACAUCGAUUUUACUACAUAUGUGACUUAACAGGAUAUUUGAGUUGAGAAAUGGCAAUGUUUCAAACGAUUAGAUCUUGUACAAUCAGACUUGCGAAAACGUUAUUGAUUUAUAAUAUAUAUAUAUAUAUAUAUAUAUAUAUAUAUAUAUAUAUAUAGACGUAUAGGCGGUCAUUGUGUAGCCCGUUCUAUAUACAAAUAGCACUUUGUGUAGCCCAAAAUGACGUUGUUCAGCCCAGAACCGGGCUAAACAACGUUUUACGUGUAUUUUGUCGCUAAUCGAUGAAUAACGAUACAAGAUGCCCCCCCUCAAAAUUUUUCGUGGGCUUAAUAUGGACAUAUAUAGUACUGUUUUUAUACAAAUUAGUUUUUUAAAGUCACCAGUUGGUGGCGCGCUGUAGUAAGUGUAUAUAGAUCGGAUACUCUAUGUAUUUUACUGUUCUUGUGAAGCCCGAUAUUUGGCAACAGCUCAACCAUAGUAAUAACAAAGAGGGCGUAAAUAAAAUGGAUCCAGAGUAUUCAAUAACAGAAGUCAAAGAAAGUGGCAGAUUUUGAGAUAAUGGAAAAAAUAGCUCGUUUCGCUUAAAGUACCAUAAUACGAUAUUUGUAUUUAUUAAAAUAUCAUUUAAUGCUUUUAUAGAA